GCAUUAUUGUAAAAACGUACAUAUAGAACCAUCAAACUGUCUCCUCCGUUCAUUCUUCUGCUCAUCCACCCACGCCAAAACCCUCAACCGUGAACUUCUCCCAUCUUUGCUGUCUAUUUGUAAGAAGCGCCGCCAUGCUUACGAGUCGGACAAUUCCAGAUUCUGUUCACACCGUUUCCAGGUAAACUCCCGCGUUUCGCAUUUUUCUGUAUUUUUCUGAAACCGUGCUCUCGGUUUGUUCCUCUUUGAAGAUGAUUCAUGAAUCGCACCAUGAUUUUUCCGAAUUGGGAUUUAAUCUGUAUGAUUCAUGAAUCGCACCAUGAUUUUUCCACUUCUCAAUUGAACAUUUCGGCUAAUUGUUAUUUUUUGGGCAGUAAUUAGUGUCCGUACUUCUGGGUAAAUGUUUUUUUAUCCCCAUUACGAGACCUCCCUGCAACUCCUUUCCAUGGUUGCCAUAGCUGCUCGAGAACCAAAGUCGUCAAUUUUCCACAUUUAAAUGACAAAUUACCCCAUUCAAACAAAACAACUCGUGAUAUUUCUAAGGGCAUUAUUGUAAAACUACCUAUGCCUCUGAAUAUUCUCGUUUUUCUACUCUUGUGCUUCUUCGUUUUCAUUUCGGGUAUUCACUUGGAAUGGAAUUUGAGAUUUCAGACAACUUUCUUUUUACUCAAACUAUUGUUUAUGUUGAUCAUUUUUAUUCAAAAUUUUUUAUUGGAUUAACAAAACAAGUGCGGCUAGGCCCAAAGUGCCCUCAUCAAACGAACCAAAUCAUGUUAUUUCAUAGUUCUGUUCCAGAUGCUCGGACAAUUCCAGAAUUGGGACUUUUUUCUGUGUUGUUUUGCUUUAGAAUUCGUCAUCUUCUUUGACAUCGACGUCUCAAUUGCAAUUUUGAUUUAUUUGUUCUUUUCCAGCAAUAUUUUACUGUCCACAGUUGGGUAAAAUGUUUUUAUCCCUAGGAUUUUGGUUGCCCAAUUCAGAACCCACCUCUCUACAACUCCACCUUUCAUUUUUAGAUUAUUCUUCUCUUUCCCCUUUCUGCUUCUCCAUUCUCUCUCUGCCUUCGAUUUCUAGUUUAUGCACCGGGAAACCAUCUUUUUCUGAAUUUGUAUAGCUCUUGUAUUAAUUUUUUUCGGUUGUCCUUGUGGGAAGAUGGACGAACAUUUGGACUUCAAAAUUAGGAUCUUUUCUCAAUUUGUUUUUGGUUUUGCUUCUUAAUUGCAAUAUUGAUUGAAGUCUUUAUUUUUGGGGAAUAAUAACUGUCCAUGCUUAUCGGUAAAUUCAUUUAAGGGAACUUUAAUGAAAAACUCGUGAUAUUGUUUAUUUUAAAGAAAAAUUACAUUUUUAUACUAAAAAGUCAAUUCUGGUAUUAGUAACUUUUGUUGGUAUUUAGACAAUCUUUCAUCAUUAAUAAAACUUGAAUAAAAUGAUAAAGAUUGAAAAUCAAAGAAACAGAGUGCAGAGAGCUUUGGAAACAGAAGGCUGAUGCUUUUUCUUAAAACAGAUAUUUGAUAUUUUCAUUCAGAUAUUUCUGAUAUAUAUGGCUCAAUACAUAAGCCGACUGAAGUAAUUGGGUCGACUGAUAAAGAGAAUGCGUCGACUGAUAAAGGCAACAGUCAGCCCUUUUACACAGAAUCAGUUUAAGUAAAGCAUUAACUUUUAACACUCCCUCUUAAUGCUUUGCUGCUUCACUCCCAAAAGUUCUCUUAGGUAGAUGAAUCUGUCCUUUGGUAAUGCCUUGGUGAAGAUAUCAGCAACUUGAUCUUCUGUCUUGCAUAGACCACAUCCACUUCCUUGUCUUCCACAGCACCUCUGAUGUAGUGAUGCUUCAGAGCAAUAUGCUUUGAUUUACCAUGACAGACAGGAUUCUUGCUCAUGGCAAUAGCUGACUUAUUAUCACAAAGGAUAUGAGUUGCUGAUUCUUGUUUCUCACCAAAAUCUUGCAGAAUUCUUCUCAGCCACACUGCUUGAGAAGUUGCAAUUGAAGCCGACACAUACUCAGCCUUUGCCGUUGAUAGUGCAAUUGAUUUCUGUUUCUUAGAUGCCCAAGAGAAUACACUAGUCCCUAAUGUAAAAGUAUAGCCAGAUGUGCUCUUCAAGUCAUCCACACUACCUCCCCAGUCACUAUCACAGAACCCAUACAAUUUUGGCUCAACAUUCCUUUCAUACAUAAUACCAAAGUUAAGUGUACCUUGUAUGUAUCUUACGAUCCUCUUUGCAGCUCCAUAGUGAAUGCAAGUAGGCUUGUGCAUAAAUCUGGACAACAAGCUUGCAGCAUACAUAAUAUCGGGUCUAGUCGCUGUCAAAUACAACAAACUCCCAACCAGGCUUCUAUACACAGAUUCAUCAGCAUCACCACUGCCAUCUUCUCUUUGAAACUUUUCAUUCACAACUAGAGGUGUUGCAACAGGCUUGCAACCAACCAUUUUGAACUUUUCUAGAAGUGUUUUUUGCAUAUUUCUUUUGAGUAAUAAAGAUACCAUCAUUUGAUUGAAUGAUACUAAUUCCCAAAAAAUAAUGCAACAUGCCUAGAUCACUCAUCUCAUAUUUCCUCAUCAUGUCAUUCUUGAAAUUCAAGAUCAUAUUAUGACUACUUCCAGUAUAAACCAAAUCAUCAACAUAUAAGGAAAUAAUAAGGAUAUCUGAAAUACCUUCUGUUUUGACAUAGAGGGCAGGUUCAUUCUCACUUCUUUGAAAACCUCUUUCAUUGAAAUAUGAGUCGAUCGGCCAAACCAUGCUCUCGGAGCUUGUUUCAGGCCAUAAAGUGCCUUCUUAAGCUUAUACACCUUGUGCUCUUGUCCUUUAAGAACAAAUCCUUGAGGUUGAUCAACGAACACCUCUUCUUUUAGGACUCCAUUUAGGAAAGCCGACUUGACAUCAAGUUGGUGCAGAAACCACCCAUUCUGAGCAGCUACGGAAAUAAGGCCUCUGAUUGUUUCAUGCCUAGCUACCGGUGCAAAUGUUUCGUGGAAAUCAAUCCCGGGUUUCUGAGAAUAACCCUUUGCUACCAAUCUAGCUUUGUUCCUUUGAACGGAACCAUCUUGAUUGAGCUUAGUCUUAUAAAUCCACUUCACUCCAAUGACGGAGUUGUCACAAGGUCUGUCCACUAGUUCCCAUGUCUUGUUUUUCACAAUGACAUUGAUCUCCUCUUGCAUUGCAGCCUUCCAUGUCUCUUCUUUCACUGCAUCAUCAAAGUUUUCUGGUUCUUCAACACAGAAAUUGCAGCUUUCAUAGACUUCAUUUAAGCUCCUUAACCAACCGGUGUCUUAUUUUCAACUGCCACUGUUGGAUGCCUAUUCAUCAAGUAGACCGCUGUAUUAACUGCCUCGCCCCACAAAUAUUGAGGUAUUCCCUUGUCAUGUAACAUUGCCUUAGCCAUUUUGACUAUGGUUCUGUUUUUUCUCUCAGCUACUCCAUUUUGUUGUGGAGUGUAGCUGACAGUAAAUUGUCUUUCCAAGCCAAUAUCUUGACAAAACUUAUCAAAUUCUGUGGAUGUAUACUCUCCUCCUCUGUCACUUCUAAGAACUUUUAUUAGAUAACCAGAUUGUCGCUCAACCAUAGCUUGAAACUUCUUGAAGAUUGAGAACACUUCUGAUUUCUGUCUUAGAAAGUAUACCCAAAUCAUUCUAGAAUAAUCAUCCACGAAGAUUAGGAAAUACUUGUUUCCCACUUGAGUAGAGGUUUUCAUGGGUCCGCAAACAUCUAUAUGAAUCAAUUCCAAUGGAACUUUUGCUCUCCAAGCUUUACCAUGUGGAAAUGAAUCUCUAUGAUGCUUCCUAAGUGCACACCCUUCACAGAUUUCUUCAUUUUCUUGGAUACUCGGCAACCCAUGCACCAUUUCUUUUUUCUUGUAGCUUCUUGGGACUUUGAAAAUUCAAGUGGCCAAGCCUUUUAUGCCAUAGCUUCGAAUCUUCUUUUGCCUUACAAUUUGUGCUCUUCUUUUUAAAUCCACUUCUCAAUUGAACAUUUCGGCUAAUUGUUAUUUUUUGGGCAGUAAUUAGUGUCCAUGCUUCUGGGUAGAUGUUUUUUUAUCCCCAUUACGAGACCUCCCUGCAACUCCUUUCCAUGGUUGCCAUAGCUGCUCGAGAACCAAAGUUGGUCAUCUUUCUUUUUACUCAAACUACUUUUUAUGUUGAUCAUUUUUAUUCGCAAUUUCUGAUUGGAUUGAACAAAAUUAGUGUGGCCAGGCCAAAAGUGCCCUCAUCAAACGAACCAAAUCAUGUUAUUUCAUAGGUCUGUUCCAGAUGCUCGGACAAUUCCAGAAUUGGGAUUUUUUCUGUGUUGUUUUGCUUUAGAAUUCGUCAUCUUCUUUGACAUCCACAUCUCAAUUGCAAUUUUGAUUUAUUUGUUCUUUUCCUGCAAUAUUUAAUCUGUAUGUUCUUUUACCUUAGAAUUCGUG
RNAcentral lists this long non-coding RNA (4396 nucleotides) under Malus domestica (apple). RNAcentral's name for it is "long non-coding RNA (MDOM_LNC020589)". The record is from RNAcentral. Lineage: Eukaryota; Viridiplantae; Streptophyta; Magnoliopsida; Rosales; Rosaceae.